This 253-nucleotide ribosomal RNA is filed under the name uncultured bacterium. Its description in RNAcentral is "partial 16S ribosomal RNA". It matches the Rfam family "Bacterial small subunit ribosomal RNA", at positions 524 to 776 of the family's 1533-position model. The record is from RNAcentral.
UACGUCGGGGGCAAGCGUUACUCGGAAUCACUGGGCGUAAAGAGCUCGUAGGUGGGUAGAUAAGUCAUACAGUAUAGCCAACAGCGCAACUGUUGUUCUCUGUAUGAUACUGUUUGCCUUGAGGACAGGAGAGGGGAGUGGAAUUCCUGGUGUAGCGGUGAAAUGCGUAGAGAUCAGGAAGAACACCGGUGGCGAAGGCGUCUCCCUGGUCUGUUCCUGACACUGAGGAGCGAAAGAUGGGGGAGCGAACGGG